RNAcentral lists this ribosomal RNA (1373 nucleotides) under uncultured bacterium. RNAcentral's name for it is "bacterial SSU rRNA". It matches the Rfam family "Bacterial small subunit ribosomal RNA", at positions 28 to 1381 of the family's 1533-position model. The record is from RNAcentral.
GAUGAACGCUGGCGGCGUGCCUAAUACAUGCAAGUCGAGCGAACAGAUGAGGAGCUUGCUCCUUUGACGUUAGCGGCGGACGGGUGAGUAACACGUGGGUAACCUACCUAUAAGACUGGGAUAACUUCGGGAAACCGGAGCUAAUACCGGGUAAUAUUUCGAACCGCAUGGUUCGAUAGUGAAAGAUGGCUUUGCUAUCACUUAUAGAUGGACCUGCGCCGUAUUAGCUAGUUGGUAAGGUAACGGCUUACCAAGGCAACGAUACGUAGCCGACCUGAGAGGGUGAUCGGCCACACUGGAACUGAGACACGGUCCAGACUCCUACGGGAGGCAGCAGUAGGGAAUCUUCCGCAAUGGGCAAAAGCCUGACGGAGCAACGCCGCGUGAGUGAUGAAGGUCUUCGGAUCGUAAAACUCUGUUAUUAGGGAAGAACAAACGUGUAAGUAACUGUGCACGUCUUGACGGUACCUAAUCAGAAAGCCACGGCUAACUACGUGCCAGCAGCCGCGGUAAUACGUAGGUGGCAAGCGUUAUCCGGAAUUAUUGGGCGUAAAGCGCGCGUAGGCGGUUUUUUAAGUCUGAUGUGAAAGCCCACGGGCUCAACCGUGGAGGGUCAUUGGAAACUGGAAAACUUGAGUGCAGAAGAGGAAAGUGGAAUUCCAUGUGUAGCGGUGAAAUGCGCAGAGAUAUGGAGGAACACCAGUGGCGAAGGCGACUUUCUGGUCUGUAACUGACGCUGAUGUGCGAAAGCGUGGGGAUCAAACAGGAUUAGAUACCCUGGUAGUCCACGCCGUAAACGAUGAGUGCUAAGUGUUAGGGGGUUUCCGCCCCUUAGUGCUGCAGCUAACGCAUUAAGCACUCCGCCUGGGGAGUACGACCGCAAGGUUGAAACUCAAAGGAAUUGACGGGGACCCGCACAAGCGGUGGAGCAUGUGGUUUAAUUCGAAGCAACGCGAAGAACCUUACCAAAUCUUGACAUCCUUUGACCCUUCUAGAGAUAGAAGUUUCCCCUUCGGGGGACAAAGUGACAGGUGGUGCAUGGUUGUCGUCAGCUCGUGUCGUGAGAUGUUGGGUUAAGUCCCGCAACGAGCGCAACCCUUAAGCUUAGUUGCCAUCAUUAAGUUGGGCACUCUAAGUUGACUGCCGGUGACAAACCGGAGGAAGGUGGGGAUGACGUCAAAUCAUCAUGCCCCUUAUGAUUUGGGCUACACACGUGCUACAAUGGACAAUACAAAGGGCAGCGAAACCGCGAGGUCAAGCAAAUCCCAUAAAGUUGUUCUCAGUUCGGAUUGUAGUCUGCAACUCGACUACAUGAAGCUGGAAUCGCUAGUAAUCGUAGAUCAGCAUGCUACGGUGAAUACGUUCCCGGGUCU